This 291-nucleotide long non-coding RNA is filed under the name Manihot esculenta (cassava). Its description in RNAcentral is "long non-coding RNA (MESC_LNC008199)". Lineage: Eukaryota; Viridiplantae; Streptophyta; Magnoliopsida; Malpighiales; Euphorbiaceae. The record is from RNAcentral.
GAUAGUACAAAUAGUGAUCAUAAUUGUCAAGGAGAAAUUUGUCAUUGUAACAAUAAAGUGAAUGUAUUAACAGAAUAUCAUCAAGUAUUAGAACAAAUAGAGCAAGUACAAGAUUCCAAUAUAAAACGAAAAAUGUUUAAAAAAUUAACAAAAUUAAUUAAUGAAGAAAUAAAACAAGAAACUGCACCACCAACCAAAUUUGAAGAUAUUGAACAAAUGUUUAAAAAUAAAAAAUCAGUAACAACAAUUUCUUCCAUGGACUUACAAUCUGAAAUAAGGCAAUUAAAACUA